Molecule: microRNA precursor, 87 nt
Organism: Gossypium raimondii (Peruvian cotton)
Lineage: Eukaryota; Viridiplantae; Streptophyta; Magnoliopsida; Malvales; Malvaceae
Rfam family: MIR7486 microRNA precursor family
Source: Rfam
CACGUCAGCGCGACCUGCUGACGUGGAAGGAAAUCGCGUCUUUGAGGGCUCGAUUUCCUUCCACGUCAGCAGGUCGCGUUGACGUGG